GGCGCAAGCGUUGUCCGGAAUUAUUGGGCGUAAACAGCUCGUAGGCGGUCUGUUGCGUCUGCUGUGAAAACCCGGGGCUUAACCCCGGGCUUGCAGUGGAUACCGGCAGACUAGAGGUAGGUAGGGGAGAAUGGAAUUCCCGGUGUAGCGGUGAAAUGCGCAGAUAUCGGGAGGAACACCGGUGGCGAAGGCGGUUCUCUGGGCCUUACCUGACGCUGAGGAGCGAAAGCGUGGGGAGCGAACAGGAUUAGAUACCCUGGUAGUCCACGCCGUAAACGUUGGGCGCUAGGUGUGGGGUCCUUCCACGGAUUCCGUGCCGCAACUAACCCAUUAAGCCCCCCGCCUGGGGAGUACGG
This 356-nucleotide ribosomal RNA is filed under the name uncultured Thermomonosporaceae bacterium. RNAcentral's name for it is "bacterial SSU rRNA". It matches the Rfam family "Bacterial small subunit ribosomal RNA", at positions 531 to 885 of the family's 1533-position model. The record is from RNAcentral. Lineage: Bacteria; Bacillati; Actinomycetota; Actinomycetes; Streptosporangiales; Thermomonosporaceae.